AUUGAACGCUGGCGGCAGGCCUAACACAUGCAAGUCGAGCGGACGAAGGGAGCUUGCUCUUGGAUUCAGCGGCGGACGGGCGAGUAAUGCCCAGGAAUCUGCCUGGUAGUGGGGGAUAACGUCCGGAAACGGGCGCUAAUAUCGCACACGUCCAGAGGGAGAACGUGGGGGAUCUUCGGACCUAACGCUAUUUGCUGAGCCUAGGUCGGAUUAGCUAGUUGGUGGGGUAAAGGCCUACCAAGGCGACGAUCCGUAACUGGUCUGAGAGGAUGAUCAGUCACACUGGAACUGAGACACGGUCCAGACUCCUACGGGAGGCAGCAGUGGGGAAUAUUGGACAAUGGGCGAAAGCCUGAUCCAGCCAUGCCGCGUGUGUGAAGAAGGUCUUCGGAUUGUAAAGCACUUUAAGUUGGGAGGAAGGGCAGUAAGUUAAUACCUUGCUGUUUUGACGUUACCAACAGAAUAAGCACCGGCUAACUUCGUG
This 484-nucleotide ribosomal RNA is filed under the name uncultured bacterium. RNAcentral's name for it is "partial 16S ribosomal RNA". It matches the Rfam family "Bacterial small subunit ribosomal RNA", at positions 30 to 507 of the family's 1533-position model. The record is from RNAcentral.